GGCACCUUCGGUGUCCGAGUUGUAAUUUGAAGAAGGUAACUUUGGAGUUGGCUCUUGUCUAUGUUCCUUGGAACAGGACGUCACAGAGGGUGAGAAUCCCGUGCGAUGAGAUGUCCAACUCUAUGUAAAGUGCUUUCGAAGAGUCGAGUUGUUUGGGAAUGCAGCUCUAAGUGGGUGGUAAAUUCCAUCUAAAGCUAAAUAUUGGCGAGAGACCGAUAGCGAACAAGUACAGUGAUGGAAAGAUGAAAAGAACUUUGAAAAGAGAGUGAAAAAGUACGUGAAAUUGUUGAAAGGGAAGGGUUUGAGAUCAGACUUGGUAUUUUGUAUGUCUUGCUUUCGGGUGGGGCCUCUGCAGUUUACUGGGCCAGCAUCGGUUUGGACGGUAGGAUAAUGACAUUGGAAUGUGGCACUACUUCGGUGGUGUGUUAUAGACUUUGUUGAUACUGCCUGUCUAGACCGAGGACUGCGUCUUUGACUAGGAUGCUGGCAUAAUGAU
RNAcentral lists this ribosomal RNA (496 nucleotides) under Scheffersomyces shehatae. Its description in RNAcentral is "eukaryotic LSU rRNA". It matches the Rfam family "Eukaryotic large subunit ribosomal RNA", at positions 124 to 638 of the family's 3401-position model. Lineage: Eukaryota; Fungi; Ascomycota; Pichiomycetes; Serinales; Debaryomycetaceae. The record is from RNAcentral.